GUAGCUCCGGCCAGCCUCUGAUGAACAGCCACAUUUACAUACAAUCCUAUGGAUGGUCUCGAAGGAGACAUUUUGCCUUACUUUUUAGAUGACAAUACAAAUUAUAUCAACAUGAGCACCGACACAAUGAAUGAUUUUCACGAGGCCGUUUGUGGAGUGCGCCCUCCCUAGUUUGUUUUAGCCAGUAGUAUCAACAGUCAACAUGGCGUUUACGCACGUGGGCAAGCAAAAACUGUUCAACUUUGUAAACUUCAGACAAUGUUUCUUACAAGAAUAAAAGAUUUCUCGUCAAAUGAGGCUGUCCAUCAAACCCGGAGUAUCAACCUACACCCCCAGGUUUGACUGAAGAGAGCCCGUGAGAUGCAGCAUCGUCAUGAAUUCAAAAACGCCAUCUCCUCACUGCCUAAAGCUACUUCAACUCAACUUGGCUACUUAUUCAAUAGUAGGAUAAGAUGGAUCGCAUUGCCCUGGACUGUUCAACUCACGGUGAAUAUGAAUUUAUCAAAUUCAAGGACUAGCAGUCUCACCAUUCAUCAGUUUUGAACUUCACCGCUUCAAGUUAUAAUGAACACUCAAGAUGAUGAAAAGCCUUGGUAUGAGAUGCGCCGGCUUGACUGACGAGAGCCCGUGAGAUGCUGCCUCAUCAUGAUUUCAAAUACGUCAUCUUCUCGGCGUCUCAAGCUAAUUCAGUUCAACUUUGUGAUUCAUUCAAUACUAAGAUGUAAAAGGUACGUCUCACGUAGUGAGUUUUAAUUAUUGUAAAAAGAUCUGUUUACAUGGACUCUUAUAAAACCACUCGGACAUCAGUCUUUACUGUUUACAACUUGAUGAACAAAGCUGAUAUUUAUUUAAAAAGCUAUUAAUUUAAUUCAAAGCAAAAGUGAACUUCGUAAACAGAUCUUUACCAUGUACAGCCCUAUGUGGCUGUUUUUGUUAUGAAGCGAAAACUUUGCUGAAUAUUGUUGUGUACAUUUUGUAGCUCCAUUGAAUCAUCAGGCCUGAUACUUUGCGGAGAUAAAGUACGCAGCAAUUGCCUCUAUGCACACGGCCUUGGUCAUUGCCUUGGUGCCCAUUGAAAUGUUCUGGUACUAAUUCAAAUGUCCCUCACACUCUGGCAUUUUACUGAGAAAAAGCUGCCUUGCCCUUACAAGAAUGAAGCAUCAGGCCUGAAGAAUGGGUAAUGAAAUGCAGAAAACAAAGGGCUACUAGCUACGACUAACAUUUUUUUACUGAAUACCAAAGCAGUGUAGUGAACAAUCAUGCAACAUAUAGGCUAACAUGUACAGUUUUAAAACAUAACUUUAUACAGAUGUCAGAGUUUGAAAUAUGUUUUAAAAACUUAGUUUGAUAUUUAUAUGUGGUAAAUGUGAUGUAUUUGUAUCACGCGUGAUUAUAUUUAUCUGCAAAACAUUGUACGAACCGAGCAGGGCCUUCGGUUUUAAUGGAGUUCAAAUAUAUGGAAACUUGGAGUGAACAUCUGCAUUUCCAUAAAAUUUUAUUCUUAGCAUUGAAAGUACACUACCGUAUCUUUUUACCAUUUUAUCUUGAAAACUAGAUUUCGCAAAUCCAUGAGAACCCUAAAAUAAAUAGUUAUUGUAUUUUUUUUAUGAUUUGCUGAUGUAUUUAACAUGGAAACUUGGCAAUGCAGAUGGCCCUUUUAAGCUUCCAUACAAUUUUUGCUCCAUCUUUUGAAGUCUGGCUCCAAGUAUCUUAGUGCUUAUACAACACUUAUUCUUAAUGUAGGUGCCAGACUAAUUUCUUCACACACUUGUUUUGAUUUCUACUAUAUGUAUACACUUAGCUGAUAAGUUAUCAAGGUUAUGUGUGUAAAUGCCCCUUUUAAACAACAGGUUUUAAUAUGCCAGCUUCGUAAUUCACAGUUAAGCUGAGCAUAGUUACUUUAUAAUACUUAAAAUAGGAAGUUGGAAGGUUAGAAGUCGCGAACGUGUGUUCUGUGCAUUUAAAGUGUUAUAAAAAGAAAGCACCUACAACUUAUGCUAAGUGCCAAUUUAGAGUAAUUGUAGGCAAUUAUUUAUUAAAACGACUCUUUCCUGUAAGUUUGUUUGUCACCAGAAUGCGUAGUUCAUGUAGAAUGUCAACAGAGAUACUCUGGAGUGUAUCACGCAGUUUUAAUUGUGUUUUAGAUGUUUUCGAUCUCAUUUUUUGUAAUUUUCAGUGAUUUUCAUGUUUUUUUUCCCCAAAA
Long non-coding RNA from Asterias rubens (European starfish), 2203 nucleotides. RefSeq lists it as uncharacterized. The transcript is spliced from 4 exons. The record is from RefSeq and is a predicted model, not a curated record. NCBI's taxonomy places the organism in Eukaryota, Metazoa, Echinodermata, Asteroidea, Forcipulatida, Asteriidae.